GACGAACCGAGCGGACGUUGUUCGGAAUCACUGGGCUUAAAGGGCGCGUAGGCGGGCAUCAUAGUCUGUGGUGAAAUCCGGCAGCUUAACUGUCGAAUUGCCAUGGAUACUGGGUGUCUCGAGGGAGGCAGGGGUGCGCGGAACUGAUGGUGGAGCGGUGAAAUGCGUUGAUAUCAUCAGGAACUCCGGUGGCGAAGGCGGCGCACUGGUCCUUUUCUGACGCUGAGGCGCGAAAGCCAGGGGAGCAAACGGG
RNAcentral lists this ribosomal RNA (253 nucleotides) under uncultured bacterium. Its description in RNAcentral is "partial 16S ribosomal RNA". It matches the Rfam family "Bacterial small subunit ribosomal RNA", at positions 524 to 776 of the family's 1533-position model. The record is from RNAcentral.